This 356-nucleotide unclassified non-coding RNA is filed under the name Athalia rosae (coleseed sawfly). RNAcentral describes it as "misc RNA ENSAEAG00005011258.1". The record is from RNAcentral. Lineage: Eukaryota; Metazoa; Arthropoda; Insecta; Hymenoptera; Athaliidae.
AUCAAAUGAGAAAUAUCGAAAGACGCAUUAUGCGCAACUAGUAGACACGGUUUUUCCAGAUUAUUUGAAAAUUUUCGAAAUGCACGUAAGGCAUCUCGUCAAUUGACUGUUGAUACUUCAUCUUGGUGGAAGUAAAGAUGUCCAUUAAUGUUAUUUCAUCCAGUAUGCUCCGAAUUUCUUUUGCAGGGGUCAGAUAAAUGCUAAAUUUGAAAUCAUUGCACUGAGCUGCAAUUUGUGAAAUUUCAUCAUUUUUGUGGAAUCCGGAAGUUUCAAGGUCAAAGUAGACAAUCGUUGAAGUUGUUGACGAAAUUUUACUGGAGGCAUCAAUGUGAGAAACUUCCAAGUUGAUACUCUCA